UAAUUAGUUCCCUAAUUUCAUGGGCUUCAAAUUCUCUCUUCUUGUUCAGGGUGGCAAAUAAAGGUGCAUUGGUGUGGAUAUUUUCUAAUAGCUCCUCAUUUCUUUCGGAUUUGAGGUCUACCUUAACUUCCACAGACCUUUGCGGGAAAGGAAUUGGUGAUUUAUAGGGAGGAGGGACAACACAUAGCUCUUCCUUCUCUACCUUUUUGACAACCUCCCU
This 220-nucleotide long non-coding RNA is filed under the name Lathyrus oleraceus (garden pea). RNAcentral's name for it is "Pisum sativum (pea) long non-coding RNA (PSAT_LNC001307)". The record is from RNAcentral. Lineage: Eukaryota; Viridiplantae; Streptophyta; Magnoliopsida; Fabales; Fabaceae.